Molecule: non-coding RNA, 27 nt
Filed under: Homo sapiens (human)
Lineage: Eukaryota; Metazoa; Chordata; Mammalia; Primates; Hominidae
Source: RNAcentral
UCCUAGACCUUGUGGGUGGCGCCCUGC